RNAcentral lists this ribosomal RNA (415 nucleotides) under uncultured bacterium. RNAcentral's name for it is "bacterial SSU rRNA". It matches the Rfam family "Bacterial small subunit ribosomal RNA", at positions 355 to 787 of the family's 1533-position model. The record is from RNAcentral.
UAGGGAAUAUUGCACAAUGGGGGAAACUCUGAUGCAGCGACGCCGCGUGAAGGAAGAAGUAUCUCGGUAUGUAAACUUCUAUCAGCAGGGAAGACAAUGACGGUACCUGACUAAGAAGCCCCGGCUAACUACGUGCCAGCAGCCGCGGUAAUACGUAGGGGGCAAGCGUUAUCCGGAUUUACUGGGUGUAAAGGGGAGCGUAGACGGAUCCGCAAGUCUGGAGUGAAAGCCCGGGGCUCAACCCCGGACUGCUUUGGAAACUGUAGGUCUAGAGUGCCGGAGAGGUAAGCGGAAUUCCUAGUGUAGCGGUGAAAUGCGUAGAUAUUAGGAGGAACACCAGUGGCGAAGGCGAUUCUCUGGGCCAAGACUGACGCUGAGGCGCGAAAGCGUGGGGAGCAAACAGGAUUAGAUACCC